UCUUAGGCCAUCAGACUCUCCUUAGAGCAAGCCCUGCCUCCUGAGCCAAAGGAAGAAAAUACUGAGCCCGUGAGCAAACUGCGGAUCCGGACCCCCAGUGGCGAAUUCCUGGAGCGGCGUUUCCUGGCCAGCAAUAAGCUCCAGAUUGUCUUUGAUUUUGUAGCUUCCAAAGGAUUUCCAUGGGAUGAGUACAAGUUACUGAGCACCUUUCCUAGGAGAGAUGUAACUCAGUUGGACCCAAAUAAAUCAUUAUUGGAGGUAAAGUUGUUCCCUCAAGAAACCCUUUUCCUUGAAGCAAAAGAGUAAACACAGCCCAGCGGUGGAACCAGCCAUUCCUUGACAAGCCAGCGGCCUGCAUCAAGAGAAGGGCUCCUCACCAACCCACCCAUACGCUCGUCUCACUCAAUUCAAUGUCACACUUCUGCCUCUUGCAAGAUUGCUGGAAAAAGUAAUAAUAAACAUAGCUACUUAAAAUUUCCCA
Carlito syrichta (Philippine tarsier) is the source of this 481-nucleotide long non-coding RNA. RefSeq lists it as uncharacterized. The transcript is spliced from 2 exons. NCBI's taxonomy places the organism in Eukaryota, Metazoa, Chordata, Mammalia, Primates, Tarsiidae. The record is from RefSeq and is a predicted model, not a curated record.